CCUACGGGUGGCAGCAGUGGGGAAUAUUGCACAAUGGGGGAAACCCUGAUGCAGCGACGCCGCGUGAAGGAAGAAGUAUUUCGGUAUGUAAACUUCUAUCAGCAGGGAAGAAAAUGACGGUACCUGACUAAGAAGCCCCGGCUAACUACGUGCCAGCAGCCGCGGGAAUACGUAGGGGGCAAGCGUUAUCCGGAUUUAAUGGGUGAAAAGGGAGCGUAGGCGGUUUAGCAAGUCAGAAGUGAAAGCCCGGGGCUCAACUCCGGGACUGCUUUUGAAACUGUUGAACUAGAUUGCCGGAGAGGUAAGUGGAAUUCCUAGUGUAGCGGUGAAAUGCGUAGAUAUUAGGAGGAACACCAGUGGCGAAGGCGGCUUACUGGACUGUAAAUGACGCUGAGGCUCGAAAGCGUGGGGAGCAAACAGGAUUAGAUACCCUUGUAAUC
Molecule: ribosomal RNA, 440 nt
Filed under: uncultured bacterium
Lineage: Bacteria
Description: partial 16S ribosomal RNA
Rfam family: Bacterial small subunit ribosomal RNA
Source: RNAcentral